UGGCGGACGGGUGAGUAAUGUCUGGGAAACUGCCUGAUGGAGGGGGAUAACUACUGGAAACGGUAGCUAAUACCGCAUAACGUCGCAAGACCAAAGAGGGGGACCUUCGGGCCUCUUGCCAUAAGAUGUGCCCAGAUGGGAUUAGCUAGUAGGUGGGGUAACGGCUCACCUAGGCGACGAUCCCUAGCUGGUCUGAGAGGAUGACCAGCCACACUGGAACUGAGACACGGUCCAG
RNAcentral lists this ribosomal RNA (235 nucleotides) under uncultured Enterobacterales bacterium. RNAcentral's name for it is "partial 16S ribosomal RNA". It matches the Rfam family "Bacterial small subunit ribosomal RNA", at positions 96 to 334 of the family's 1533-position model. Lineage: Bacteria; Pseudomonadati; Pseudomonadota; Gammaproteobacteria; Enterobacterales. The record is from RNAcentral.